Vespula vulgaris is the source of this 2236-nucleotide long non-coding RNA. RefSeq lists it as uncharacterized. The transcript has 4 exons. Lineage: Eukaryota; Metazoa; Arthropoda; Insecta; Hymenoptera; Vespidae. The record is from RefSeq and is a predicted model, not a curated record.
GUUUCAUUCCUCGACACGAAGCGUAAGGUGAUACAUCGCAGCCAUACAUGAAGAGGCUUCUCUCGUUUAGUUGGCUUCAACGGGAAUCGAUUGCUUCUCCUGGAUGCCUAAGAAGAAGUCGACCGACGCCCUCGCAACGGCGUAAUACUUCGUUUUUCAAUAAAUGAUUUCUCACGUUCUGCGAAAUUAUUGGACAUCCUGUUACCCACGUAGAUACGUAUGCAAAAUCGGUGCUACAUCGCUGCUCUUCCUCCAGUAAUUUGAUCGCGGGAAACACAUGUGUAAAUUCGCAAGGCUGACCACACGGCAGAUUUUGGCGAGUAUGUCUAUGCACUUUGCUGGUGCAUCCUGUCGAUUCACGAAUAUGCAGUACAAGAAAUAUGAGAAAAAUCACGAUAUUACCUGCAACAACUGCACGUUGGCGUUCACCUCGGAAACGAUUUUCGCUCUCAUCUUGACGCAAACGAGCACUUGAACGCUAACGGAAUCCUCCGAAAGUGCACUCGAAUGAUCGGCGAACUACAAUCGAUAGAGAUUCAAUUCGACAAUCGAAUCUGAUUUCGCAAAAAGAGUAGAUGUACUCAAAAAAAUUCUAUUUAAUGAUAAGAAUAAAAGAGAUCGAGAGAGGUAUAUAUGUACUUUUGAUAUACUUUUGAUAACCGACAGAUUUCCUCAACAAUAUUUCACAGUGAUACUAUUUUAAUGCUAUACAAUUCUUUUCACAAAGAUACGAACUUUAGAUUACUUUUUUUAUACAUCGUUAUGACCUACACUCGAUUAUAAUCAAUACAAUCAUUUUCAUCAAUUAGUUUUAAGCUUUAGAUCGUACUAGUUAUAAUUUUUCUCCGUUUAAUCACAUAACAUAUCGUUACUCCCAUUCGUUCGUUUUUAUAUCCAUUUGAAAGAAAAUCGAAAUCUCUAUUAAUGGUUUUAUAUAUAAUAAAUCGAGAAAUAAAGACGAUAUUUAUGGAUAUGUAAAAAAAAGUGGUAGAAAAGACAAUUCCUAUAACUGUUACUAGUACAUUAUAUUUUUUAAAAAUUUGCAAAGAGUAUCUUUUCUAUCGAUUUUAGAAUUAUCAGUAAAAUUAUCUGUAUUAUAGAAAUAUUUCAUUAACGAAAAAUAUACAUUGAUGAUAGAAAAUAAUUUCUCAGGAAAAUAAACACGUUAAACAAAAAAAAGGUAUCGAUGAAAUGAAUCAGAGAGAAAAUGUUGUUGAGAAAAUAAUGUAAACAUUGACGAAUAAUAUUAUAAUAGCUUUAACCUUGAGGUAAGAUAGUUCCUCGAGACAAUUUACUACGUCGCCCUUGACCAUUAAAAAUAAGACAUCCAAAUCCCAAGUGUGAGCUAUCAUCUUGGAUUCCUGCAUGACCCAGAGCCUAGCAGUGUGGACCGAGUGAUCGAGCCUGUGAAGAACGACGAUCUGUUCUGAAAUCGGCAAUUCCAUUAACGGCGCGCCGAUCACCCAUUCACCUCCGACCUCGCACUCGUUGCUCAGCGUUACCAGUAAUUGGAAAAGCUCGGCGAACAUUUGACCCGUGUCCGUGCCCUAGAAAACGGGUAAAGGGAAAUCGUUAAACGGGUUAUAAUUAAAUCCGACGGGAUGGUCAAGAUAUUUGAAAUUUAAAUUCUAUACCUACUACGAAGUGUAUUAUUAAAGAAAAAAAAAGAGGAAACAAGAGAUAGAUAGAUAUACAUAUUCAUUUUAUAUCCAUAAUACCUACAAUUAACAAAUCGAGCUAAAGUUACAAAUAAAACAAACAAGAUAGAGUCAGUUAAUAUUAAAUAGAGAAAGAGAGAGGAAAAUGGAGAGAAAAAGAGAAAGGAUUUAAAUGCAUAACACUUCUAACGAAUAAAGUAAGAGUAUUACAUAAAAACAAAUACAACGUAAAAGAAAUAAAACUAGUUAAACGUAUUAAGUAGAAAGAGUGUUAAAGAGAAAGGAAGAGAGAGUAGGAAAAAAGAAGACCAACCUCAGUAGUAGAAGGUCUCGAUUGGCAUUCGAAGGCAGAUGUAUACGCUAAUCGAAAUAAUUGGUCCCAAGAUGUGAUAGUAACAUGAUAACCGAGAGCAUCGCAUAAGUUUUGUAAAGCAGGUCUCACCGUCGGCGGAACUAAAAUUUGAUUGUCGAAUUAUUCGAACUCUUCGACGUCGAACGUAUAUUUCAUAAAGUGAUUACGUGCCUCACCCGCAUUUUUUUGAAUGAAUUGUCUCAACCAGUUUUUUAGGUGUUCCGCU